RNAcentral lists this ribosomal RNA (566 nucleotides) under uncultured bacterium. Its description in RNAcentral is "partial 16S ribosomal RNA". It matches the Rfam family "Bacterial small subunit ribosomal RNA", at positions 355 to 1375 of the family's 1533-position model. The record is from RNAcentral.
UGGGGAAUUUUACGCAAUGGGGGGAAACCCUGACGUAGCGACACCGCGUGAGCGAAGAAGCCCUUUGGGGUGUAAAGCUCUGUCAACAGGAACGAAACAAAUGACGGUACCUGUGGAGGAAGCAUCGGCUAACUACGUGCCAGCAGCCGCGGUAAGACGUAGGAUGCAAGCGUUGUCCGGAUUUAUUGGGCGUAAAGAGUUCGUAGGCGGUUUGUUAAGUCUGAUGUUAAAGACCGGGGCUCAACCUCGGAAAUGCAUUGGAUACUGGCAGACUGGAGUGCAGUAGAGGCUAGUGGAAUUCCCAGUGUAGCGGUGAAAUGCGUAGAUAUUGGGAAGAACACCGGUGGCGUAGGCGACUAGCUGGGCUGUAACUGACGCUGAGGAACGAAAGCCAGGGGAGCAAAUGGGAUUAGAUACCCCAGUAGUCCUGGCCGUAAACGAUGGAUACUAGGCGUAGUGGGGUAUCGACCCCUGCGUGCCGCAGCUAACGCGAUAAGUAUCCCGCCUGAGUAGUACGGCCGCAAGGUUGAAACUCAAAUGAAUUGACGGGGUCAUAGCUGUUUCCU